This 1217-nucleotide ribosomal RNA is filed under the name denitrifying bacterium enrichment culture clone NOB_2_G8. RNAcentral describes it as "bacterial SSU rRNA". It matches the Rfam family "Bacterial small subunit ribosomal RNA", at positions 10 to 1252 of the family's 1533-position model. The record is from RNAcentral.
AGUUUGAUCCUGGCUCAGGACGAACGCUGGCGGCGUGCCUAACACAUGCAAGUCAACUUGACGGAAGGAGCAAUCUGACCGUAGAGUGGCGCAAGGGUGCGUAACGCGUAAGUAACUUGCCCCAAGGUAAGGAAUAACGUCGAGAAAUCGGCGCUAAUACCUCAUAAUGCAGCGGAUCCGCAUGGAUAUGUUGUUAAAGGUUUACCGCCUUGGGAUAGGCUUGCGUCUGAUUAGCUAGUUGGUGUGGUAACGGCACACCAAGGCUACGAUCAGUAACUGGUCUGAGAGGAUGAUCAGUCACACUGGAACUGAGACACGGUCCAGACUCCUACGGGAGGCAGCAGUGAGGAAUAUUGGGCAAUGCUCGAAAGAGUGACCCAGCAACGCCGCGUGGAGGAUGAAGGUAUUCUAUAUCGUAAACUCCUGUGAGAGCAGACGAAAGACAGAUUAUUAAUCUGGAUGACUGUAUGCUCAGAGGAAGCCCCGGCUAACUACGUGCCAGCAGCCGCGGUAAUACGUAGGGGGCAAGCGUUGUCCGGAUUCACUGGGUGUAAAGGGCGCGUAGGCGGGAUAGCAAAUCAGUGGUGAAAUCUUGCAGCUCAACUGCAAAACUGCCAUUGAUACUGCUGUUCUUGAAUGUGGAAGAGAGAGGCGGAAUUCCAGGUGUAGUAGUGAAAUACGUAGAUAUCUGGAAGAACACCAAUUGCGAAGGCUGCUUCUUGGUCCAUUAUUGACGCUGAGGCGCGAAAGCGUGGGGAGCAAACAGGAUUAGAUACCCUGGUAGUCCACGCUGUAAACGAUGAGUGCUAGAUGCCGGAUUUUUUCGGUGUCGCAGCUAACGCAUUAAGCACUCCACCUGGGAAGUACGAUCGCAAGGUUGAAACUCAAAGGAAUUGACGGGGGCCCGCACAAGCAGUGGAGCAUGUGGUUUAAUUCGAUGCAACGCGAAGAACCUUACCUAGGCUUGAAAAGCUUAUGACCGGCUGUGAAAGCAGCUUUCCCGCAGGGCAUAAGUACAGGUGCUGCAUGAUGUCGUCAGCUCGUGCCGUGGAGGUGAUGGGAUAGUCCCGCACGAGCGCACCCUUACCAUUAGUGCACGAGCAUCGAGCACUCUAUGGCACUGCUACGCAGGUAGUGAGAGGUGAGGAUGACAUCAGUCGCAUGCAUACGCCUAGGCUACCCACGGUGCCUACAAUGGGGCGUCUAAAACGGGGGCA